This 467-nucleotide ribosomal RNA is filed under the name uncultured bacterium. RNAcentral describes it as "partial 16S ribosomal RNA". It matches the Rfam family "Bacterial small subunit ribosomal RNA", at positions 28 to 507 of the family's 1533-position model. The record is from RNAcentral.
GACGAACGCUGGCGGCGUGCUUAACACAUGCAAGUCGAACGGAAAGGCCUCUUUCGGGGGGUACUCGAGUGGCGAACGGGUGAGUAACACGUGAGUAACCUGCCCUUGACUUUGGGAUAACUUCAGGAAACUGGGGCUAAUACCGGAUAGGAGCUCCUGCUGCAUGGUGGGGGUUGGAAAGUUUCGGCGGUUGGGGAUGGACUCGCGGCUUAUCAGCUUGUUGGUGGGGUAGUGGCUUACCAAGGCUUUGACGGGUAGCCGGCCUGAGAGGGUGACCGGCCACAUUGGGACUGAGAUACGGCCCAGACUCCUACGGGAGGCAGCAGUGGGGAAUAUUGCACAAUGGGUGGAGGCCUGAUGCAGCAACGCCGUGUGCGGGAUGACGGCCUUCGGGUUGUAGACCGCUUUCGCUCAUGACGAAGCUUUGUGUGACGGUAGUGGGUAAAGAAGCACCGGCUAACUACGUG